RNAcentral lists this long non-coding RNA (288 nucleotides) under Solanum pimpinellifolium. Its description in RNAcentral is "long non-coding RNA (SPIM_LNC000129)". Lineage: Eukaryota; Viridiplantae; Streptophyta; Magnoliopsida; Solanales; Solanaceae. The record is from RNAcentral.
CCAUAACCAGCAUUAGUCCAAUGCAGGACCGAACAAAUAUCUCAGGUACUAUACUCUUAAAUAUUUCCGAAUACUUUAAUGUUUUACGGAGACUGGUUUUGAAUUUUCUUGGUGGAAAAGCUAAGCCAUUUUGUAUAACCAGCAAACUUUGCUUAUCUAUGGAUAUUUUUCUACUCCUCCGGAUUGGCUGAGAAAACAUUUUAUUUCUGUGCAUUUGCUCAAUGUAGCAUAAAGGAGAGCAACUUCCAGAGUUGUCAUUGCCACUUCUUUUCAGACACAAUACAGGAU